RNAcentral lists this ribosomal RNA (1091 nucleotides) under Vibrio campbellii. Its description in RNAcentral is "bacterial SSU rRNA". It matches the Rfam family "Bacterial small subunit ribosomal RNA", at positions 91 to 1178 of the family's 1533-position model. The record is from RNAcentral. Lineage: Bacteria; Pseudomonadati; Pseudomonadota; Gammaproteobacteria; Vibrionales; Vibrionaceae.
UCGAGCGGCGGACGGGUGAGUAAUGCCUAGGAAAUUGCCCUGAUGUGGGGGAUAACCAUUGGAAACGAUGGCUAAUACCGCAUAAUGCCUACGGGCCAAAGAGGGGGACCUUCGGGCCUCUCGCGUCAGGAUAUGCCUAGGUGGGAUUAGCUAGUUGGUGAGGUAAGGGCUCACCAAGGCGACGAUCCCUAGCUGGUCUGAGAGGAUGAUCAGCCACACUGGAACUGAGACACGGUCCAGACUCCUACGGGAGGCAGCAGUGGGGAAUAUUGCACAAUGGGCGCAAGCCUGAUGCAGCCAUGCCGCGUGUGUGAAGAAGGCCUUCGGGUUGUAAAGCACUUUCAGUCGUGAGGAAGGUAGUGUAGUUAAUAGCUGCAUUAUUUGACGUUAGCGACAGAAGAAGCACCGGCUAACUCCGUGCCAGCAGCCGCGGUAAUACGGAGGGUGCGAGCGUUAAUCGGAAUUACUGGGCGUAAAGCGCAUGCAGGUGGUUUGUUAAGUCAGAUGUGAAAGCCCGGGGCUCAACCUCGGAAUUGCAUUUGAAACUGGCAGACUAGAGUACUGUAGAGGGGGGUAGAAUUUCAGGUGUAGCGGUGAAAUGCGUAGAGAUCUGAAGGAAUACCGGUGGCGAAGGCGGCCCCCUGGACAGAUACUGACACUCAGAUGCGAAAGCGUGGGGAGCAAACAGGAUUAGAUACCCUGGUAGUCCACGCCGUAAACGAUGUCUACUUGGAGGUUGUGGCCUUGAGCCGUGGCUUUCGGAGCUAACGCGUUAAGUAGACCGCCUGGGGAGUACGGUCGCAAGAUUAAAACUCAAAUGAAUUGACGGGGGCCCGCACAAGCGGUGGAGCAUGUGGUUUAAUUCGAUGCAACGCGAAGAACCUUACCUACUCUUGACAUCCAGAGAACUUUCCAGAGAUGGAUUGGUGCCUUCGGGAACUCUGAGACAGGUGCUGCAUGGCUGUCGUCAGCUCGUGUUGUGAAAUGUUGGGUUAAGUCCCGCAACGAGCGCAACCCUUAUCCUUGUUUGCCAGCGAGUAAUGUCGGGAACUCCAGGGAGACUGCCGGUGAUAAACCGGAAGAAGGUGGGG